GUUCGGAGCAAGGUGGCCGUGAUGGUUGUGAUGCCGGCACCGGACGAGCUGACGUCCGGCACGUUCGUAAGUACAAGUAGGAGCAGGUUCUACUCCGAGGAUUUGUCUUCAACAACAACGAAGAGCAACUUUGGAGCAGACCCUGAAAUUGUGAGAUGCACAUGAUCCCUAUGCGGCCAUGGUGGGUUCUUGUGGGCAUAAGCGGAGGCGGACAUGGGCCUUCUGCAAUUAGUACUGGUCCAUAUCACCUACGAGCUGCAGAAGGCCAUGCAUCGCUAUUUCCACAUGAGGUGCACGGAAGGUUUAGAAUUCUGAAAUUCAUAAACUAAAAAUUCAGGGUCAAACAUAUGGUGAUAGCUUCAUCGAUUUUCUUUGGCAAACAAAUGCAUAAAUCCUUGAAUUGUUCUUACAGUAAAUUGUGUGAAUACUUGCACUUGUUUUAUCGGAAUCAUGUCGAAGCCAGGGUGGGCAUCAGGUAAUUAAGCCUAGCACAUUCAGAAUUAAUAUUGAUUUUUAACGUACUCAUUGAGUUCACAUCAUUCAGAUCACAUCAUACUUGUUUCUAUUUUCAGGUGCGACGGCAAAUAAUGAGAAAGCACUAUAUCUUCUUUGCUUGAUUAUUCCUCAUUGUUCCCUUACCCCCCAAAAAUUAGUUUUCUAGCCAUUCUUUGGGCCAUACUUUUAUUUGUUCUGAAAAGGUUAUGAAAAAAUAGGCAUCAUGAUACUCAGAAUGAUACCGGAUUCACUAUAAUUAAAUUUGAUUCUAUUUUAAAUGGCAAGGUUGGUGUGACACCUGAAGGUGUGGAGGAACCUUGCAGUCUUAUCGACGAGGGGAUGCAAGACAAGAUCCGGAGCAUAAAUAUCUUAUAUAAUGCAAGUUCAGAUUACACGUCAGCUUUGUACGUGGAGUCAUAUCCAUUGCUAAUAAGGUCAUUUUUUCGCAUGGAAGUGAAUGUACUAUUAGAGUCAAACCUACCUCGAGAAGGAGCAUCGACUUAAGAUAUGAUCAGUCAUUUCAUCUUCCUGUUCCUGCAAGCAUAAAGAACAGGUUGCACAUUGGUCCUGCAUGACCUGGCCUUCCUAACUCUCAUGUAAGACGUCCAAAUUUUGUGUUGGAGAGCCAACCAAAUGAAAAUUUUGCAAUUCAUCGCCCCCAGCACUUCCAGAUAGCAUCAACACCCCUGAAAGUGACAGUCCUGGAGCAGAGCAUUUUGAAGGUGCACAAGACAGAGUAAACUCCGGCUGCAUUUGUCGCCCACCCCGGGCUGAAUCUGAACUUCCUGGAUUGCAUCUACAGUUAAACAUACUGGACUAGAUCUUGCAUUGAUAGACAUACUCAAACGUAAGGGCAAAGCACACUUUUUUUUUUACUUCUGUUACAACUACAUAUCUCUAGAUGUGUUGCUAACCAUUUAAAUUUAUUUCUCCUCCUGCAGUCCACGAAAAAGCCAGAACUUAUAAUUUUGUUUAUUUGAUGGGCUCUCUGUAUAUAUACUAUCUCUAUAUACUAUCUCACCACAAGAGAUCUUUUAUUUUUUAAAUAAAGAUAUACAUAGCACUUUCCGUGAAGCUGCAAUUUGCUUAGCCCUUUUCAUGAGGUAAUUAUUAUUACUUUGACUUGAAAUAGUAGUAUAAGAGGGAUUCCAGGAGGCCAGCAAGGUUAAGCCUUUAUGUAAGUAAGAUAGCUAGCGAUGAUCCGAAUACAUGAUGAUAGCAUUAGGUCUAAGGGUUUACUUGCCAGACACAUGGGAUGUCUGCUUUAGGUCUAAGGGUUUACUUGCCAGAGACAUGGGAU
Molecule: RNA transcript, 1795 nt
Organism: Lolium rigidum
Lineage: Eukaryota; Viridiplantae; Streptophyta; Magnoliopsida; Poales; Poaceae
Exons: 4
Source: RefSeq, a predicted model, not a curated record